RNAcentral lists this long non-coding RNA (630 nucleotides) under Setaria italica (foxtail millet). RNAcentral's name for it is "long non-coding RNA (SITA_LNC000684)". The record is from RNAcentral. Lineage: Eukaryota; Viridiplantae; Streptophyta; Magnoliopsida; Poales; Poaceae.
CGCUAAUAAAAGUCGACAUAUCUAUGAAAAGUCACUUCAAAUUGACACUUCUUUUAAGAAGCUAAGGUGCCAGAAAGUUUGAACCAUAUUUUCUAUUGUUGAUUGAUCUAUGUUUAUCAAGCCAUGGCCUUGCUUGCUGAGAUGAUCCUUGCACUUAUGUAUGUCGGUCUCGUAUGUUACUCUCUACUCUCUCAUAUCUUUGUCAGGUUCUUCCCUACUUUGGACUUUGGAGGGGAGGUCAUGUCUAUGAUGUGAUCUUCAUUGGAGUCAUGUGGUAGCCACUAGCAUUACUGAAGUCAAGAGGAAUCAAAAGAGUAUCAAUCGCUCUAAGAAAUUUGUGUGGAAGCGAUGCCAAUGUUGCAGUGUAAGAUUGGUGAUUCAUCGUCUCUCAUGGCAUAUAUGGAUGAGGAACACAAGUAGCAGGUGAUGAGGAUUGGUGCAUGAAUGUAAUGCUGAACAUUUAGAAAAGGGAAAAAACUUGGUGGAGUCCUUAAAAUACCGCCUGCUAAUAUCUAAAACAUCCGUAAGCUUCUCACCCCCUACACACAACCGCAUGCAAAAAUGUAGAACAUGUGAUCUUUACACAACAUGCAAGACCGACAAACCUAAAAAAAGCAGAAAAGAUAAAGC